AGGGUUGUGGCUCAGUGGUGGAGCACUUGCCUAGCAUGCAUGAGGCACUGGGUUCCAUUCUCAGCACCACAU
This 72-nucleotide transfer RNA is filed under the name Urocitellus parryii (Arctic ground squirrel). RNAcentral describes it as "Spermophilus parryii (Arctic ground squirrel) tRNA". It matches the Rfam family "tRNA". Rfam says of the family: Transfer RNA (tRNA) molecules are approximately 80 nucleotides in length. Their secondary structure includes four short double-helical elements and three loops (D, anti-codon, and T loops). Further hydrogen bonds mediate the characteristic L-shaped molecular structure. tRNAs have two regions of fundamental functional importance: the anti-codon, which is responsible for specific mRNA codon recognition, and the 3' end, to which the tRNAs corresponding amino acid is attached (by aminoacyl-tRNA synthetases). tRNAs cope with the degeneracy of the genetic code in two manners: having more than one tRNA (with a specific anti-codon) for a particular amino acid; and 'wobble' base-pairing, i.e. permitting non-standard base-pairing at the 3rd anti-codon position. Lineage: Eukaryota; Metazoa; Chordata; Mammalia; Rodentia; Sciuridae. RNAcentral also lists the same sequence under 1 other name. The record is from Rfam by way of RNAcentral.